GCCCAGGUAGCUCAGUUGGUAGAGCAGAGGAUUGAAAAUCCUCGUGUCGGUGGUUCGAUUCCGCCCCUGGGCA
RNAcentral lists this transfer RNA (73 nucleotides) under Pseudohongiella spirulinae. It matches the Rfam family "tRNA". Rfam says of the family: Transfer RNA (tRNA) molecules are approximately 80 nucleotides in length. Their secondary structure includes four short double-helical elements and three loops (D, anti-codon, and T loops). Lineage: Bacteria; Pseudomonadati; Pseudomonadota; Gammaproteobacteria; Pseudomonadales; Pseudohongiellaceae. The record is from Rfam by way of RNAcentral. RNAcentral also lists the same sequence under 3 other names.